GACGUAGGGCGCGAGCGUUGUCCGGAUUUAUUGGGCGUAAAGAGCUCGUAGGCGGCUCGUUGCGUCGGCUGUGAAAACCCGCAGCUCAACUGUGGGCUUGCAGCCGAUACGGGCGGGCUGGAGUUCGGUAGGGGAGACUGGAAUUCCUGGUGUAGUGGUGAAAUGCGCAGAUAUCAGGAAGAACACCGGUGGCGAAGGCGCUCAUCUGGCCCAAUACUGACGCUGAGGCGCGAAAGCUAGGGGAGCAAACGGG
This 253-nucleotide ribosomal RNA is filed under the name uncultured bacterium. RNAcentral's name for it is "partial 16S ribosomal RNA". It matches the Rfam family "Bacterial small subunit ribosomal RNA", at positions 524 to 776 of the family's 1533-position model. The record is from RNAcentral.